UACAGUAUUUACAGAGCCUACCUUGAGGCACCCACUGAUGGAUAAUCUGUUUACCUAAAAACAGCCCACCACAAUCCAUGUUUACCAGCUGUGGAAGUGCAGGUCAAAAAUCUUCCUUCACCUGUGGGCCUCUUCCCACAUGUAGAUAAGCACUUCAGGAGAAACCUGCCUGUGAUCUGCUAAGAUGCACAGAUUCAACUCUGGCCCAUUGUCAUCCCAACACCUCAUCUGCCAUCAGUUUCGUUUAGUGUCGGUCUAUUGCAAAAGUUCUUAUAAACUUUAAAUGAGACUUUGUGUUAAGCAGGGGUUUCCAAACUUUUCAUUCCACAUCAUAUUAAGCCCAGGAUACACAGCAGGAUUUUUGCAAUCCAAUAAGACCUUAUCACACUGUGUGACAAGGAUUGUUUAAACUUCAGCAGUAGACUGUCGAUGAAGACACCUAUUGCAUCUG
This is a long non-coding RNA of Paramisgurnus dabryanus, 451 nucleotides long. RefSeq lists it as uncharacterized. The record is from RefSeq and is a predicted model, not a curated record. NCBI's taxonomy places the organism in Eukaryota, Metazoa, Chordata, Actinopteri, Cypriniformes, Cobitidae.